AUUGAACGCUGGCGGCAUGCCUUACACAUGCAAGUCGAACGGCAGCACGGGAGCAAUCCUGGUGGCGAGUGGCGAACGGGUGAGUAAUGUAUCGGAACGUACCUUUCAGUGGGGGAUAACGUAGCGAAAGUUACGCUAAUACCGCAUAUUCUGUGAGCAGGAAAGCAGGGGAUCGCAAGACCUUGCGCUGAUUGAGCGGCCGAUAUCAGAUUAGCUAGUUGGUGAGGUAAAGGCUCACCAAGGCGACGAUCUGUAGCGGGUCUGAGAGGAUGAUCCGCCACACUGGAACUGAGACACGGUCCAGACUCCUACGGGAGGCAGCAGUGGGGAAUUUUGGACAAUGGGCGCAAGCCUGAUCCAGCCAUGCCGCGUGAGUGAAGAAGGCCUUCGGUUGUAA
Molecule: ribosomal RNA, 397 nt
Filed under: uncultured bacterium
Lineage: Bacteria
Description: bacterial SSU rRNA
Rfam family: Bacterial small subunit ribosomal RNA
Source: RNAcentral